RNAcentral lists this long non-coding RNA (896 nucleotides) under Daphnia pulicaria. RNAcentral's name for it is "uncharacterized LOC124343442, transcript variant X2". Lineage: Eukaryota; Metazoa; Arthropoda; Branchiopoda; Diplostraca; Daphniidae. The record is from RNAcentral.
AUUAGCAAUGCAUUUUCUUGAUUUAUAAUUGUUGAACCAAAUGUUGUUUUGACUAAUGAUGAAUUUCCUCUUGUCUUUCACAUAUUCAAUCUCACCUGUCGCCCGGUUUGGUAGUGGAUAAGCAUGCGAACAGAUGCCAUGGAUUGGACGGGAAUUAUGAGGAAAUUAUUAUCGAGAGAGUUAGCUCUGGUUUGGGAUUCAUCAUCUCGGGUGGACCUGACAAGCAACACAUCUGCGAAGAUCAAGCCAUCAUUCUGACGAAGAUCAUCACGGGCGGUGCGGCUGCUAUCGCCGAACGAAUGAAGAUCAACGACGUCAUCUUGAAAGUGAACGAUGUGUUGGUGGUGAACGUUACCUAUUCAGCUGCAGUCGAAGCGCUCAAAAGGGCAGGAAACAUCGUCCGUUUGAGCGUAAGUAGACGCAGACAGCCACGAUCUCCUCGCAGAGUCGAAAUUGUGUAAGGGCAACAAAGGAAUGAUUUUCACCAUCACGUGCGUAUCGGGAAAUAAACAUAUUACCGGCGAUAAUGUAAUUUACAUUACCAAGAUAAUGUGAAUGGCGGAGUGGCUAAAGUUGACGGGCGAAUAGUUUUCAGCGAAAAAUUGAUUCUCGUCAGGAAUUUACACUUGUUGACGGAGAAAAAUCUAGAGAAAGUUUCGCACGAGGACGCCUUUUCGGCGUUAAAGUAAACAUUGGGUGUUGCAUUGGGUGUUGCAUUGGGUGUUGCAUUGGGACAUUUUCCAUUGGGUGUUGCUGCAAUUUUGUUUCAGACCUCGUCACACUUGGAGCAGAAUUUGUCCAACAUGUAGUACCAUUUUAGAAAUGAUUGUUUAAAACUUAAAAUUGUUCCAUUUCCAAGGGAGAAGAUUGAGGGACAAGAAAAAAAAAAUUAAAGA